This 838-nucleotide long non-coding RNA is filed under the name Homo sapiens (human). RNAcentral describes it as "HSALNT0265060". The record is from RNAcentral. Lineage: Eukaryota; Metazoa; Chordata; Mammalia; Primates; Hominidae.
UGGAGGCAGAAGGACCUUGCAGGUCACUUUAUAGAUGAGGACACCAGCCAAGGAUGGAGUUGUUUCCUGAAGUUCCCUGAUCUGUCUAAAGUCUGGACCUGACAAAGAAGAAAACAGUCACCUCCGGUUCCUUCCCUGAGUUUUUGUUAAUUGAAUUCAUGUCGCAGGAAGAAAGACUGAAGUCUUUCAACUCACCUGGACAGACUUUUGUCUCAAAUCAUUGUCUACUCUGCAGGCCCAAUAAACUUUGUCUCAGGCCACUGUGUGUUCUUUAAGACCACUGAAUUCCGCUAAAAAUCAUUUACUACCCCCACUUUCCCCUAAGAAGAAGGUAUGCAGCCAUUUCUACCCCACUGCCUGACGGGGAGAUCACUCUGUGGCCCUGCCCCGUGCGUGAUAACACAUUUGCAUGUCAUUCCUCCUGUUAACCUGUCUUUUGUCAGUUGAUCUUCAGUGAACCUUCAGAGGGCAAGGGGGAUGUUCUUCCUUGUCCCCUAUACUUGCGAUGCUGAAAAGUGGACCUACUGUAUUCUGUACAGCCUUAGUUUACAUAAUUGUUACCCUUUUGAUGAUCUCUUGUUUUCAGUUUCUAGCUAUUAUCAAAAAAAUACUUUAUUGCUAACCUCUUUUCUACAAAACUCAGCUUCUGAUGAUGUGCCCCCACCAACCAGAAAGGAGCUCUACUCCACCCUCAGCCUCCCAGGAGUUGACAGACAACUCCUUCCUUCCAGAUUGUUCAGGUCAAAAACGCAGGAGUCAGCCUUGAUUCCCAGUGAUUCACAUGGUGGAAAAUCAUGCGGGUUCUACUUUCGAAACACUUGCAGAAAGAUACGGAAAC